AGGCUGUGCGGAGGCUGACUGGUCCACAAAGCAAAAAGCAUUGGCAGGGGCACCGCUAGGAAUAUGGGGCCCCAUGAAAGACAUUGAUAUUGGGCCCCAAGCCCAAAAAGGGCCCUUAGAAUCUUCCUAACUUCCCCCCCAUUGCCUGAGCAUUGGUGAAAGAAGUCUGGACAGCUGACUGUGGAAGCCCAGCAGAAGAAGGCAGGUGGAGAGGAUUCAGCCUGGCUGAGGAGAGCAGCUGUGACUGCAGACCCACAGGUGAGAGCCUGACAGGCAGAGGACGAACGCCUAUCCUCCAUUCCUCCUCUAAGAGCGAGACGUCUGGAGGAGAUCAAGUCUGUUUCUGAAUCAUCUCUGGAAAGGUUUCCUGUUAUGCUUUAGCAUCACAUUAUAAGGCACGUUUCACUCACAUACUUUUAAACAAUAUAUAUCUCUGUUUUUAUCACAUUUGAAGACCACGACAUAGCAAGAUUUGAUGAAAUCCUAAUGGAUUCAUUAUUUUACUUUAAGGAGCAUAACAGUGAAGGACAAACUCUGCAAACCCUCAGCUCCAAACCUGCACUUUAAGUUUCCUCUUUCUGUCUGCUGUUAAGAGUGAGGAGACCUUCAAUCAUCCCGGGAAUCACUGCGGCACUGAGGAUUUAGUGAAGUUGAUAAGUAGAAAUGUGCAUUAAAUGAAGAAGCAGUCUGUGCAUAGAGAAUAUAUUAUAAUAUAACUGCAGGGACAUAAAUUAUUAUUUAGAGACAGGCUCUUUUUUCUAUUCUGCUUCUAGAGCUCAGUAACUGGUGAAUUAUAAAGCCUUUCUAUACUAAUAGGUAGUUUUUCAGCAGAAUGGGCUAAUAGACGAUGGAAUCAGAUUACGAUCUCUGACCGCCAUCAAAGAAAGCAAGUCUCUCUUGUGCUUUAAGCUGUGUCCAAAACCAGGAAUGACGAGGCAUUCAGCCGGUUAUACUCUAACAUUGUUUGCCCAUUUUGGGCUGAUUCUCCAGUCGUGCAAGAAUUUUUCGCUCUGGCCGACUUUCAGCCUGAUGGUGCGUGGUGUGGUGAUGAGGGGCGACCACCUCCCCAUCAGGAAUGGUAAGGUUGGGAGAAAAUCAAACAUGUUUGAAAUUCAUUCGGCCGUCGUAAGGUGGUCUUGAGCUAAUCGCUCAGUGGGCAAACAAGGAUUCUUCUUCUUCUUCUUCUCAGAGGAAAACCCAGAAUCAUA
Long non-coding RNA from Cyprinodon variegatus (sheepshead minnow), 1208 nucleotides. RefSeq lists it as uncharacterized. NCBI's taxonomy places the organism in Eukaryota, Metazoa, Chordata, Actinopteri, Cyprinodontiformes, Cyprinodontidae. The transcript is spliced from 3 exons. The record is from RefSeq and is a predicted model, not a curated record.